GCAGGCGUAGCUCAGUUGGUUAGAGCGUCUGACUGUGGAUCAGAAGGUCGAUGGUUCGACUCCAUCCGCCUGUA
This 74-nucleotide transfer RNA is filed under the name Pseudomonadota bacterium. Its description in RNAcentral is "tRNA-His". It matches the Rfam family "tRNA". From Rfam's summary of the family: Transfer RNA (tRNA) molecules are approximately 80 nucleotides in length. Their secondary structure includes four short double-helical elements and three loops (D, anti-codon, and T loops). The record is from RNAcentral. Lineage: Bacteria; Pseudomonadati; Pseudomonadota. RNAcentral also lists the same sequence under 1 other name.